UACGGGGGGAGCAAGCGUUGUCCGGAAUUAUUGGGCGUAAAGGGCGUGUAGGCGGCCUGGUCAGUCGAAUGUGAAAUCCCACGGCUCAACCGUGGAACUGCGUUCGAUACUGCCUGGCUUGAGUAUGUGAGAGGUGUGCGGAAUUCCUGGUGUAGCGGUGGAAUGCGUAGAUAUCAGGAAGAACACCGAUGGCGAAGGCAGCACACUGGCGCAAUACUGACGCUGAGGCGCGAAAGCGUGGGGAGCAAACAGG
Molecule: ribosomal RNA, 253 nt
Filed under: uncultured bacterium
Lineage: Bacteria
Description: partial 16S ribosomal RNA
Rfam family: Bacterial small subunit ribosomal RNA
Source: RNAcentral